Molecule: transfer RNA, 94 nt
Filed under: Ignisphaera aggregans
Lineage: Archaea; Thermoproteati; Thermoproteota; Thermoprotei; Desulfurococcales; Desulfurococcaceae
Description: tRNA-Lys
Rfam family: tRNA
About the family: Transfer RNA (tRNA) molecules are approximately 80 nucleotides in length. Their secondary structure includes four short double-helical elements and three loops (D, anti-codon, and T loops).
Source: RNAcentral
GGGCCCGUAGCUCAGCUAGGUAGAGCGGCGGGCUUUUAACCCGUAGACCCCAAAAGGGCGGAAGUCCCGGGUUCAAAUCCCGGCGGGCCCGCCA